Molecule: ribosomal RNA, 321 nt
Filed under: Sandona sp.
Lineage: Eukaryota; Cercozoa; Glissomonadida; Sandonidae
Description: SSU rRNA
Rfam family: Eukaryotic small subunit ribosomal RNA (bases 62-321)
Source: RNAcentral
GAUUUCUGGCUUGAAACAUUUUGCCGGCCACGGUUUCGUGUGUUAGUGCUUGAUGUUCUGGCCAUCCUUCCAAUCGCUAUUGCCUUCUCUUCAUUGAGUGGUCAGUGGUAUUGGAUCUUUUACUUUGAAAAAAUUAGAGUGUUUCAAGCAGGCUUUAUGCUAUGAAUACAUUAGCAUGGAAUAAUAAUUUAGGACUUUUGUCUUAUUUUGUUGGUUUUCGGACUUAAGUAAUGAUUGAUAGGGAUAGUUGGGGGUGCUAGUAUUCAGCGGCCAGAGGUGAAAUUCUUGGAUUCGCUGAAGACUAACUUAUGCGAAAGCAUU